Molecule: ribosomal RNA, 492 nt
Filed under: uncultured bacterium
Lineage: Bacteria
Description: partial 16S ribosomal RNA
Rfam family: Bacterial small subunit ribosomal RNA
Source: RNAcentral
AGUGAACGCUGGCGGUAGGCCUAACACAUGCAAGUCGAACGGCAGCACAGUAAGAGCUUGCUCUUACGGGUGGCGAGUGGCGGACGGGUGAGGAAUACAUCGGAAUCUACUUUUUCGUGGGGGAUAACGUAGGGAAACUUACGCUAAUACCGCAUACGACCUACGGGUGAAAGCAGGGGAUCUUCGGACCUUGCGCGACUGAAUGAGCCGAUGUCGGAUUAGCUAGUUGGCGGGGUAAAGGCCCACCAAGGCGACGAUCCGUAGCUGGUCUGAGAGGAUGAUCAGCCACACUGGAACUGAGACACGGUCCAGACUCCUACGGGAGGCAGCAGUGGGGAAUAUUGGACAAUGGGCGCAAGCCUGAUCCAGCCAUACCGCGUGGGUGAAGAAGGCCUUCGGGUUGUAAAGCCCUUUUGUUGGGAAAGAAAAGCAGCAGGUUAAUACCCCGCUGUUCUGACGGUACCCAAAGAAUAAGCACCGGCUAACUUCAUG